GAAACGCGAUAGGUAAUGUGAAUUGCAGAAUUCCGUGAAUCAUCGAAUCUUUGAACGCACCUUGCGCUCCUUGGUAUUCCUUGGAGCAUGCCUGUUUGAGUAUCAUGAAAUCUUCAAAGUAAAUCUUUUGUUAACUCAAUUGGUUUCUACUUUGGUAUUGGAGGUCUUUGCAGCUUCACACCUGCUCCUCUUUGUUCAUUAGCUGGAUCUCAGUGUUAUGCUUGGUUCCACUCGGCGUGAUAAGUUAUCUAUCGCUGAGGACACUGUAAAAGGUGGCCAAGGUAAAUGCAGAUGAACCGCUUCUAAUAGUCCAUUGACUUGGACAAUACUUUUAUGAUCUGAUCUCAAAUCAGGUAGGACUACCCGCUGAACUUAAGC
RNAcentral lists this unclassified non-coding RNA (378 nucleotides) under plant metagenome. RNAcentral describes it as "partial contains 5.8S ribosomal RNA, internal transcribed spacer 2, and large subunit ribosomal RNA". The stretch from base 1 to 105 matches the Rfam family "5.8S ribosomal RNA", at positions 50 to 154 of the family's 154-position model. The record is from RNAcentral.